RNAcentral lists this transfer RNA (74 nucleotides) under Rhizophagus clarus. RNAcentral's name for it is "tRNA-Asp". It matches the Rfam family "tRNA". Rfam says of the family: Transfer RNA (tRNA) molecules are approximately 80 nucleotides in length. Their secondary structure includes four short double-helical elements and three loops (D, anti-codon, and T loops). Lineage: Eukaryota; Fungi; Glomeromycota; Glomeromycetes; Glomerales; Glomeraceae. RNAcentral also lists the same sequence under 1 other name. The record is from RNAcentral.
CUCGGUUAGUAUAGUGGUUAGUAUCCCCGCCUGUCAGGACGCGGGAGACCGGGGUUCAAUUCCCCGACCGAGAG